CAUGCGUCGGUGGGGUCCCUUGGCCUGGCCUGCACCAUCUCGCAAUCCGGAACCUGAUUUCGGCCCGAUCCCGCAGGCCAGGCCGAGGGACCCCACUGGUGCACG
This is a non-coding RNA of Myotis lucifugus (little brown bat), 105 nucleotides long. NCBI's taxonomy places the organism in Eukaryota, Metazoa, Chordata, Mammalia, Chiroptera, Vespertilionidae. The record is from Rfam.